CCCUACGGGGGGCAGCAGUGGGGGAUAUUGCACAAUGGGGGGAACCCUGAUGCAGCGACGCCGCGUGGGUGAAGAAGCGCCUCGGCGCGUAAAGCCCUGUCAGCAGGGAAGAGAAUGACGGUACCUGAAGAAGAAGCCCCGGCUAACUACGUGCCAGCAGCCGCGGUAAUACGUAGGGGGCAAGCGUUAUCCGGAUUUACUGGGUGUAAAGGGGGCGCAGACGGCGAUGCAAGCCAGGAGUGAAAGCCCGGGGCCCAACCCCGGGACUGCUCUUGGAACUGCGGGGCUGGAGUGCAGGAGGGGCG
This 305-nucleotide ribosomal RNA is filed under the name uncultured bacterium. RNAcentral describes it as "partial 16S ribosomal RNA". It matches the Rfam family "Bacterial small subunit ribosomal RNA", at positions 337 to 659 of the family's 1533-position model. The record is from RNAcentral.